UUCCUCGCAGUCAUGAAGCUGAUCCCAGCUUUAAACAAAUUCCCCCUUUUCCUCAGCAAGAGCGGCGGCGGCAGAGGCAGCAGCGGCGGCGGUCGGAGCGAGCCUCUUCGGCGGCGAAAAGCAUUCCUUCCUCUCCCAGGAACAUGCUACCUGGACACUCUUCCACCAAUGCCUUUCGCACCCUGAAAUGCCCUGAGUUACAUUGGACUGAAGGAAAGGAAAUCUUAUCACUAUCCAACAGAAGCAAAGGAAAUAUAAAGGAUAGGAUCAGAACAUUUUGGAAGGAGAUUCAUGGCAUAGGAUUCUGACUAAAUGUUAGGAAGAACUUCAUUAUGGGAUCACAGGGUUGUUGUAUGUCUUUCGGGCUGUGUGGCCAUGUUCCAGAAGCAUUCUCUCCUGACGUUUCGCCCACAUCUAUGGCAGGCAUCCUCAGAGGUUGUGAGGUAUGGAGAAAACUAAGCAAAGAGGUUAAUAUAUAUCUGUGGAAAGUCUAGGGUGAGAGAGGUCAGUAUGAAUGUUGUGUAGUUAAUCACUUAAAUUAGCAUUGAAAAGCUUAUCUGCUGUCUUCUUCCUGCCUCUGGGGCAUCCUUUGUUUAGAGUCGUUAACUGCCCUAGGUUGAUUCAUGUCUGGAAACCCUCUGUUUUCAGAGUAUUGCUUUUUAUUUACUGUUCUGAUUUUUGAGUUUUGUAAUACUGGUAGCCAGAUUUUGUUCAUUUUCAUGGUUUCUUCCUUUCUGUUGAAGUUGUCCACAUGCUUGUGGAUUUCAAUGGCUUCUCUGUGUAGUCUGACAUGAUAGUUGUUAGAAUGGUCCAGCAUUUUUGUGUUCUCAAAUAGUAUUCUGUGUCCAGGCUGGUUCAUCAAA
This is a long non-coding RNA of Anolis carolinensis (green anole), 863 nucleotides long. RefSeq lists it as uncharacterized. NCBI's taxonomy places the organism in Eukaryota, Metazoa, Chordata, Lepidosauria, Squamata, Anolidae. The record is from RefSeq and is a predicted model, not a curated record. The transcript is spliced from 4 exons.